GGAUGUGAGAGCGAUCUGGCUGCGACAUCUGUCACCCCAUUGAUCGCCAGGGUUGAUUCGGCUGAUCUGGCUGGCUAGGCGGGUGUCCCCCUCCUCCCUCACCGAUCCAUGUGUGUCCCUCCCGAAGCUGCGCGCUCGGUCGAAGAGGACGACCUUCCCCCCCGAGGAGAGGACCGGUCUUCGGUCAAGGGUAUACGAGUAGCUGCGCUCCCCUGCUAGAACCUCCAAACAAGCUCUCAAGAAUAUUAUUUGUAAUGGCUGUCAAAUGUCAUGAGCAUUGAAUGCUUUUGAUUUAGCCAAGUUGCCCUCCUAUUU
This is an unclassified non-coding RNA of Myotis lucifugus (little brown bat), 315 nucleotides long. Its record names the gene 7SK. It matches the Rfam family "7SK RNA". Rfam says of the family: 7SK was discovered as an abundant small nuclear RNA in the mid-70s but a possible function has only recently been suggested. Two independent studies have found that 7SK RNA binds the CDK9/cyclin T complex (known as elongation factor P-TEFb). The record is from Ensembl. Lineage: Eukaryota; Metazoa; Chordata; Mammalia; Chiroptera; Vespertilionidae.